This is a long non-coding RNA of Lycium barbarum (goji berry), 1163 nucleotides long. RefSeq lists it as uncharacterized. The transcript is spliced from 2 exons. NCBI's taxonomy places the organism in Eukaryota, Viridiplantae, Streptophyta, Magnoliopsida, Solanales, Solanaceae. The record is from RefSeq and is a predicted model, not a curated record.
GGUCAUGUUUUUUUUUUUAUUUUGGAAGAAUAUUUUAUGGGGGUGGGGCCCUCUCUUCUUAUGGAUUUGGAAUACAUAUACAUAGGAAUGUUUUUUUUCAAAAAAGAGAGAACACACAGAUCACAUAAAAAAGGCAUACCAAAAAGGAGGGACCCACUCCUUCUUCUUCACUCAAUUUUUCCACAAAUAUAUACACAUCACACAACAAUACAUAACAGAUAGAGAGAGGGUGACGAACAGAACCAAAAAAAAAAAAGGAAGAAAAAAAAAUCCUCAUCGUCUUCUUCACUAGACCACCCUAUUCCCCGCUUACUGGAGCUCUGACCAACAACCCAUCUGAACCCCCACCCUUAACCACCGGAAAAACCAUGAACCACCAAUGUACCACCAUCUAACUUCGACCAUAGAUGAACAUAUCCACCAUUAAAAACACUAUAAAAACACACCAAAACAAAAAUAGUACACACACACGAAACCAGUAACUAAACACCCAUGUCUCCACCUUAAAACUAGUGACCAAACACCCCCGUCGUCUUCAACUGUUCCCCGCCAGCACCCCAGUUCCCAAACCACUAAACCAGCGAUUUAAGCGAUCGAAAAAUGUCCCUAAACCACUGUUAAACCUCCCCAAAACCACCCUCAUUUAUAUCCCCUAAAUCAGUGGAAAAAAAGAAGAAAACAUAAUCAGGUAUAUUGUUUUCUGUUUGGUUUUUCAACUGAAAAGUUAAGGUGUUUCAAAUUAAAUAAGGGGUUUCAUCCAUGCCGUAGUUCGAGUCAAGGUUUGUUUUAGUUGGGUUUCAGAUCUAUUUCGAGUUCGGGUUGCGGUUCCCGUCGAGUUCGGAUUCAUCUAAUUUCAGGUGCUCAGGGAGACAGGCUUGAUCCAUAGCUACAUUCUCAGGGACUAUAUAGCGGAGCUCCAUUUCAUUCGGAGCUAUAUCUUUUGGUAUUGAUUCUUUUGUGUACAUAAUUAUGGGCAUAGCGGGGUCUUGUCCCGCCUAUAUGAUAUGACAUACUCUCCUUAGAGGCUCGUAGACAUGCGUAUAUGGUUAGAUGGGUUUGGCCUUGUCGGCCUAUAUUUUGUAUAUCAUUUUGUUAGCCUUAUCGGCUUAUGUACAUUGAUAUGGCAUAGAUGCCAAUGAUGAUAUAAAGGUAUUGUUGUCCAA